AUUGAACGCUGGCGGCAGGCCUAACACAUGCCAGUCGAGCGGAUGAAGGGAGCUUGCUCCUGGAUUCAGCGGCGGACGGGUGAGUAAUGCCUAGGAAUCUGCCUGGUAGUGGGGGAUAACGUCCGGAAACGGGCGCUAAUACCGCAUACGUCCUGAGGGAGAAAGUGGGGGAUCUUCGGACCUCACGCUAUCAGAUGAGCCUAGGUCGGAUUAGCUAGUUGGUGGGGUAAAGGCCUACCAAGGCGACGAUCCGUAACUGGUCUGAGAGGAUGAGCAGUCACCCUGGAACUGAGACACGGUCCAGACUCCUACGGGAGGCAGCAGUGGGGAAUAUUGGACAAUGGACGAAAGCCUGAUCCAGCCAUGCCGCGUGUGUGAAGAAGGUCUUCGGAUUGUAAAGCACUUUAAGUUGGGAGGAAGGGCAGUAAGUUAAUACCGUGCUGUUUUGACGUUACCAACAGAAUAAGCACCGGCUAACUUCGUG
This 484-nucleotide ribosomal RNA is filed under the name uncultured bacterium. Its description in RNAcentral is "partial 16S ribosomal RNA". It matches the Rfam family "Bacterial small subunit ribosomal RNA", at positions 30 to 507 of the family's 1533-position model. The record is from RNAcentral.